RNAcentral lists this ribosomal RNA (259 nucleotides) under uncultured bacterium. Its description in RNAcentral is "partial 16S ribosomal RNA". It matches the Rfam family "Bacterial small subunit ribosomal RNA", at positions 793 to 1055 of the family's 1533-position model. The record is from RNAcentral.
GUCCACGCCCUAAACUAUGGAUACUCGACAUUUGCGAUAAACUGUAAGUGUCUGAGCGAAAGCAUUAAGUAUCCCACCUGGGAAGUACGACCGCAAGGUUGAAACUCAAAGGAAUUGGCGGGGUCGCACAAGCGGUGGAGCAUGUGGUUUAAUUCGAUGAUACGCGAGGAACCUUACCUGGGCUAGAAUGCUGAUAGAUCGGGAGUGAAAGCUCUUUUUGUAGCAAUACACUGUCAGUAAGGUGCUGCAUGGCUGUCGU